RNAcentral lists this ribosomal RNA (451 nucleotides) under uncultured bacterium. RNAcentral's name for it is "bacterial SSU rRNA". It matches the Rfam family "Bacterial small subunit ribosomal RNA", at positions 340 to 786 of the family's 1533-position model. The record is from RNAcentral.
UACGGAAGGCAGCAGUGGGGAAUAUUGCACAAUGGGCGCAAGCCUGAUGCAGCCAUGCCGCGUGUAUGAAAAGGCCUUCGGGUUGUAAAGUACUUUCAGUCGUGAGGAAGGUGUUAAGGUUAAUAACCUUAGCAAUUGACGUUAGCGACAGAAGAAGCACCGGCUAACUCCGUGCCAGCAGCCGCGGUAAUACGGAGGGUGCGAGCGUUAAUCGGAAUUACUGGGCGUAAAGGGCACGCAGGCGGUUAAUUAAGUUGGAUGUGAAAUCCCCGGGCUUAACCUGGGAAUGGCAUUCAAGACUGGUUAGCUAGAGUCUUGUAGAGGGGGUAGAAUUCCAUGUGUAGCGGUGAAAUGCGUAGAGAUGUGGAGGAAUCCGGUGGCGAAGGCGGCCCCUGGACAAAGGCUGACGCUCAUGUGCGAAAGCGUGGGGAGCAAACAGGGAUUAGAUACC